GUGUCCACUUCAGCAGCAUGUAUGCUAAAUUUAGAACAUCACAGAGACGAUUAGCAUGGCCCUCCACACAUGAAUGACACACAAAUGCAUGAAGAGUUCCCCGUUUUU
Molecule: small nuclear RNA, 108 nt
Organism: Hyaena hyaena (striped hyena)
Lineage: Eukaryota; Metazoa; Chordata; Mammalia; Carnivora; Hyaenidae
Source: RefSeq, a predicted model, not a curated record